This 249-nucleotide ribosomal RNA is filed under the name uncultured bacterium. RNAcentral describes it as "partial 16S ribosomal RNA". It matches the Rfam family "Bacterial small subunit ribosomal RNA", at positions 1252 to 1500 of the family's 1533-position model. The record is from RNAcentral.
AGCCGGUGACGGUGCGCGAAUCCCAAAAUAAACGUCUCAGUUCGGAUUGUAGUCUGCAACUCGACUACAUGAAGCUGGAAUCGCUAGUAAUCGCGGAUCAGAAUGCCGCGGUGAAUACGUUCCCGGGUCUUGUACACACCGCCCGUCACACCAUGGGAGUCGGAAAUGCCCGAAGUCUGUGACCCAACCUUAGGGAGGGAGCAGCCGAAGGCAGGUCGGAUGACUGGGGUGAAGUCGUAACAAGGUAUC